GACGUAGGGCGCGAGCGUUGUCCGGAUUUAUUGGGCGUAAAGAGCUCGUAGGCGGCUUGUCGCGUCGUCCGUGAAAACCUGCAGCUCAACUGCAGGCUUGCGGUCGAUACGGGCAGGCUGGAGUUCGGUAGGGGAGACUGGAAUUCCUGGUGUAGCGGUGAAAUGCGCAGAUAUCAGGAGGAACACCGGUGGCGAAGGCGGGUCUCUGGACAUUUCCUGACGCUGAGGCACGAAAGCCAGGGGAGCAAACGGG
RNAcentral lists this ribosomal RNA (253 nucleotides) under uncultured bacterium. RNAcentral describes it as "partial 16S ribosomal RNA". It matches the Rfam family "Bacterial small subunit ribosomal RNA", at positions 524 to 776 of the family's 1533-position model. The record is from RNAcentral.